GCGCUCAUCCUCACCAAGGAAUUGAGCCCUCAUGUCCACCGCCGUCUCCCCGCUCGCCCCCACCGAUGUUCCUGACAUGCCGCAGAUCGACGGCGUGCGCCUUGCGACGGCGGGCGCCGGCAUCCGCUACAAGAACCGCACCGACGUGCUGCUGGCGCUGUUCGACAAGGGCACCACGGUGGCCGGCGUGUUCACCAAAUCGAAGUGCCCGAGCGCCGCGGUGGACUGGUGCCGCGCCAGGCUCAAGGGCGGCGAGGCCCGUGCGCUGGUGGUCAAUUCCGGCAAUGCCAACGCCUUCACCGGCAAAACGGGAAAGCAGGCAACCACGCUGACCGCAUCGAUC
RNAcentral lists this unclassified non-coding RNA (343 nucleotides) under Hevea brasiliensis (rubber tree). The record is from RNAcentral. Lineage: Eukaryota; Viridiplantae; Streptophyta; Magnoliopsida; Malpighiales; Euphorbiaceae.